Molecule: RNA transcript, 4252 nt
Organism: Folsomia candida
Lineage: Eukaryota; Metazoa; Arthropoda; Collembola; Entomobryomorpha; Isotomidae
Exons: 9
Source: RefSeq, a predicted model, not a curated record
AUUUUUCGUGUUUUUUUUGUAAAAAAAAUUGAAGAUCGGAAACUGGUUGAAAAUUUUGAUUGGGUGGUAAUAUUAUUAUGAAAUCAACAUCAUACCGAAGGAAUAUUCUAUUUCAUGCUGAAUCCGAAAAUUUAAUUAGUCUUGAUCACCCCGACGACCCAUCUUGCAUUUUAUUCUAUUGGAUAUCUACCCUGUUUUGGAGGAAAUAUCCGACUUUCCAGCAUGUCACCCUACAUAAACGAAGAAUCCGACCCGGGCAAAAUCCAGCAAUUCUUGGGGUACACCCGGCCGAAAAAAAUCGUACCCGAAUGUACUCUGGAAAGUUGUCUCCUUCGGAAAUUUUAAAAAUGUGAAAUCCACGAAAUCUUGUAUAAAGCAUUGGUAGGGGGAAAAGCGGCAUUAGAAAUGUUUAUUAACGUGUAUGAUUAACAAGAAGAAAAUGCAUUAAUAAGUAUGUUGUGGUCAUGGUGUGGGAGAAGGAAUUUUCAUGCAUAAAACUCGACAAACUGAAAAAUUAAAAAUUUAGCAUUGCGUUAUAUUGGGAAAUAUAACGGGAAAUAUAUACAAACUUUCGGUAAGAAAAUGUUCAAAUUUAGCAUUGUCUUGGUAUAGCAGAAAUUCCUCUAAAUUGCAACAAAUUUUAGCCCACGGAGCAAAAAAGGUGAAAAUCAAUGACCUCCUGAAGCAACGACAAUUGUGUUUUUUCCGCGCCAUGACCACGAUUUUUUAGAACGACUUUUGUCUUACUCUCGAAUUUAACCAUUUCUUAUGUAUAAAAUGAAUAUUGUCUUGCAUUUAGUUAGAUUAAAUUAGUUACAGAUUAAGUUAGUUACAGAUUAAAUUAGUUACAGAUUAAGUUAGUUACAGAUUAAAUUAGUUACAGAUUACUAUUCUAGCUCAGGGUACCAUUCUUAGAUAUGAUCAUGCUAUAAUUUAGAUUACAAUUUCGUUAUGGUUUUGAUUUCUUUUGUGUAUGAUUUUGGUUAUGAUUUAGGUUAGGGGCUAUCCAUAAAUUACAUUGUCAGAAAUUCUCAAUUUUAGCACCCACCCACCAAUCCAACAUAUACAUCAAGGGAUAGGGAGUUUUAACAUGGGUAAAAUAGGACUUGAACCACCCAUGCAUUAAAAUGAUGCAGAGCUGGGAACUACAUAAUCCGGAUUAUCCAAAGUUAAAAGAUAGAGGGAUUAGGGAUUAGGGAUUGGGAUUGACCAUUUAAACACAUUGACUAAUCCGGAUUAGUUCCCAGCUCUGAAAUGAUGACGUAAUAUUUGGACGUUCCCUUCUAAUUCGGUUAUGAUUUCCUUUUGCGUUGUCAUUUAGAUCAUGACUUGGGUUAUUUCGGUUAUGAUUUAGAUUAUCAUUUAGGUUAAAAAUCGGUUAUGUUUUUGAUUAUGAUUCCAGUUAUGAUUUACAUAGGUUAUUAUUUCUUUUAUGAUUUCGGUUAUGAGUUCAGAUCGCCACAAUUUCGUGACAUCUGAGGUCUUACUCGAAGGGACAAAAGAGCCACUAAAAGAUGUUCGUAGCAUAAUGUUGAAUAGUAAUAUUAACAUAAUAAUAAUAUCUAGUAAGUUUUUAUUGUCAUAAGGUAACAACUUAAUAUGUAACAUGCUGAUUUCCAACCAUUGACAUUAACUAAAUAGUUAUUAAAACAAGUCGACGCGGCAUUAACAAAAUUCCGAGUGGUUAACAAUACUUUGCGUUAAUUUCAAAAUUCUGAAUUGGCAACUGGACAUAUCAGAAAUCCGUCGUAACAUUAACAUGAACUCCUUACUCAUAUUCUAAUUUAGAUUUCGUUCAAAUUUUGUUGCAAUAUGUGUUGCAACUGCGGUCCCAAAUUUACCGCUAUAGCCGGCUAUUCACAACAUCCCCAGUUGGUUUAAACAUUCGGAAUAAGUAACGAAUUGUAUCUAGCGAUUCAGCUAGAUCAUUAGACCUAUGGAUUAACUUAAAAUGCUAAUCAAAACUCCAAAAUUAGAUCGUGGCAUACUAAUACGGAAAAUGCAAUUAUUUUGCAAAAUUGAACUUAUUGCAAAAUUGGGGUCAGAUAUCAAAAUAUCGACCAAAUUCAAGUCCAAAAUAAAUUUAUAAAUUAUUUCCAGUCAUAUUAAACCAAAGUUUGACGAGUUUGAGGCUAAACUCAAAAUUAUCAAAAAAUUCGCACAUUUUAGCUCAGAUCUCGAAAACCACCAAUCUACGCCCCCAAUAUUAUUACAGAUUCUUCAUGUACACAAAAUUACGAAAAUUUUAAGCUAUCAAACUUGAAAAUCGUCCGAGCGCGAAAAAACACGAUCUCAUUGUAUAUAUCUAUCUUAAUUAUUGAAAUAUGUACCGGUAAAUUAAUAAUAUACGUGGCAUAAUAUCAUUAAUUAUAAAUUAUGCAUCAAACGAGUUUAAGUUGUGACUUCGUGACCUUGAGGACGUGGUCAAAGGUCAAAAGAUACAUAAUUGUCAUAUGGGAUGUCAUUUUGAAGGAAAUUUGACCGCGAUUUCAAGGACGUGAAUAUUUUUAACGUCAUGAUACAGGGUCAAGAGUCAAGAAUACGUAAUUGUCGCAUAUGGUGUCAUUUUAAAGGACAUUUCGAUAAUUUUGACGCUACUUUUUUAUACCUGUUUCUAAGGGUUUAUUUAUUCUAUCGAAAGAAUUAAAGUACCCCCUCAUUUGAAUUACUUGAGUUUCACUGUAAAGUGUACCAAAUGGGAGUGUUUCUUCAAAUAUAUUGCAAAAUAAGAAGUUUAGAUUCAUAUUUGCUAAACCAUUACUCGCGAAAAACCCGACCUGAGUACGAGGCUUUAGGUUUGAGAAAUACACAAGUCAUAUUCAUAUCGAGCAGAGCAGGCCACAUGGCAUGAAAAAAACGUGCAAGCAGCUGACACUCUGUCGUGCCAAGUAUGAAGUAUGAAGUAAUAAAAAAAUAUUCAAAAUUUUAAGCAAGAAAAUUAAGAAAUAAUUAAAUACAGCAAGUUAUACAACUUCAGUAAAUCAAACUUCUGGAUUAUUCUUAACUGGAUACUUAUUAAAACCGGGUCAAAACUUUACACUGUAAAAGUCCAGUCGGAGAGCGGACUAUUGGUUGGGAAUUCGCAAUUUUGCAGGAGGGGCAGGAGGAAAAGCGAAAUACGCUUAUCUGUUGGAUAAUUUUUUUUUACAAACGGGCAAAUUUAAUUUUCAAUAUGUCAACGCCGGAUUUUAAAAUCGAUCCUGAAUGUAUUUUAGGUAUUUCAUCACAAGAGAGUCCUCCGGAGGAAGACGGACUAGCUCAAAGGGUCCGUUUUUCCUGUCCGACAUGUCCGAAUUCGUAUGCGACCCUGCAAAACCUGCGAUUUCACGAACUGAACAGGUGUCGCGGGCUCAAUCAGAAAACGUGCGAGCGGUGUAAGACUGAAUUCGCAACGGCGGAAUUAUUACAACGCCACGCGACGUUCGACACGUGUGUCGCAAAACUAGGGAGCGGUUACGGGUUGACGACUCACCUUCACGUGGGGACACGGAUUACUACUAAGGGGCAGUCCAAGGAAUGGGUCGUCGUGUGAGUGUGGUUAAGUUUGAUCAGAGCUUGGCGGAUAUCGCGAAUAUUUGGAGAAAUUCCUCUCGGAUCAUGUGCCCCGUGGAAACGUGUCGGAGAUGGUUCAGCUCAGAAAUUUACCGGAGAUCGCACAUACAAAAAAGUCACGCCACGUGGAAUAACGCAUGUUUGAUGUGUGACGAGAAAUUUGACAAGUAUGACGAGCUGUUUGACCAUCUUGGACGGGUGCAUGGGUCGUCGUCGUUGGGGGUCAAGGGGGAGGAGCUAGAUCUCGUGAGAGUAAAAAGUGAAGUGAUUUUGGACGAUGAAGUAGAAAUUGGCGGCGGAGUGGAAGACGAAAUUAAGCCAGACAUUAAAGAGCAAUUCGUAGUAAAGGUGGAAAAUGAAACGUGGGACGGGGUAGAUGUGAAACUUGAACCUUUUCAAGACUUGUAGUAGCUACUCGGUAGAAUUAAGUUUCUUAAAUUUCAUUUUAUUUUAUUUUAAUCAAGUUUAUAAUUGAUCGGCAACCUUCAAAUUUUAUCGAACUUAUGUAUGUACAAUUAUAAAAUUGACGAUUAUAUACAAACAAAAUGGCACAAUGAUCCGUAAACAAUAUUAAGGUAGUUUAUACUUCAGUAAGAAACUAAAACGGGACAUAUGUCCCGUUUUACAUAUGUAAAUACAUAUUUAUAAAUGUAUGCAAAUAAAUACUUAUGUGUAUAAAUAUAUAAAAUGAAAUUAUGAA